UUUCUGGUUGGAGAUCCUUCCCUUGUGGAGUUUUCCCUGCAAGCCUAGAUGUUCAGAGGAGUAACCUACAGGAGCCGGUCCAUUUGCAUGAGUAAGAAGGUGGAGCCAGUGAGAGAAGAGCUGUUUGCUGAUGUGAUGAAGUUAUGCCUAUGGGCUCUGGUGCUACUUAUUUCUUGUCAGAUUUCAUUAUAAUCAGCCAAGAUAAAUACUGGGACAGUGGAGCUCUAUCCAUACAAAAUCAUGUCAGUCUUGAUCUGAGACAGACUAAAUACACAUGUGUAAGCAGCAUUAUCUCCUACAACUCUUCAGUCAUCUCUGCUACCUAUACCUUAAGAAAAAUAUUACUACUUGGAUUCCCUUAGAUUGUUGAAGUGGCUCUGUUCCAGGAAAAAUAAUUCCACACCAGUGCAUGUAUGACCUGACAUAACUCCGAAAAUGUGAAAGAUGGUAUGCUAAUGAAGCAGGCUGUGUUAAUUUGAUGAAAUUAAAAAUCAAGGCAGUAAGUAGGAAGUCAAGUUUUGCAAUGUGACAAGAUACAGGAAGGGCAACUCUGCUGGCAGACAUGUAAGAAGAUGUGAAUUCAGAUGAUGGUGGAGCCAAUGUGGUGGGAGGUGGUGAAAUCUGCAGGGAGCCCUCACAGCAGGAGGCUGAUGAAGUGUUGGAAUGACUGUAUCUGAGAUGGUGGCAGAAACAUGAGUAUCAGUGCUGUUAUGGCAGACAGAUUGCUUGCACAGUGAUUCAGAUCUAGAUGAGGUUAGGAGGAGGUGAAUAAUAAGGAAGGGGAAGUGAUUAGCCCUGGGCAGUAGAUUUUUCUAUUUUCUUCCCCAUAACAGGUGCCAGCAGUAGGUGCCUUUGAAACAUGAAGAUUGUUGAUGUCAGAAAUAUCAGGAGCUUUGCCUUCCUUGUGCAACUACAAAACUUACUGUCAUUGUGUAGUAUGUCAUGGGCAUGGACUUAGUCUUUUUACAUUUGUGACUGAAGAAGUACUUUCUGACUCUAGAGUUUAUUUUAUGAUUAGGAUAGGGAAUAAUAUUAUAGAAUCCUUAGAGU
Molecule: long non-coding RNA, 1050 nt
Organism: Gallus gallus (chicken)
Lineage: Eukaryota; Metazoa; Chordata; Aves; Galliformes; Phasianidae
Source: Ensembl